Molecule: ribosomal RNA, 533 nt
Filed under: uncultured bacterium
Lineage: Bacteria
Description: bacterial SSU rRNA
Rfam family: Bacterial small subunit ribosomal RNA
Source: RNAcentral
AAUAGAUACCCGGGUAGUCCUAGCUGUAAACGAUGAGCACUGGGUUGAGGGGACUUCCACAUCCUCUCGGCCGUAGCGAAAGCGUUAAGUGCUCCGCCUGGGGAGUAUGGCCGCAAGGCUGAAACUCAAAGGAAUUGACGGGGGCUCACACAAGCGGUGGAGGAUGUGGCUUAAUUCGAGGCUACGCGAAGAACCUUAUCCUAGAUUUGACAUGGUUGAGAAUCUCCUUGAAAGAGGAGAGUGCCCUUCGGGGAGCUCUUUCACAGGUGCUGCAUGGCUGUCGUCAGCUCGUGUCGUGAGAUGUUGGGUUAAGUCCCUUAACGAGCGAAACCCUUAUCUUUAGUUGCCAGCGGGUCAAGCCGGGGACUCUAAAGAGACUGCCGGUGUCAAACCGGAAGAAGGUGGGGAUGACGUCAAGUCCUCAUGGCCUUUAUGUCUAGGGCUGCACACGUCCUACAAUGGCACGUACAAAGGGAAGCCAAGCCGCGAGGCCGCGCUAAUCCCAAAAAGCGUGCCCCAGUUCGGAUUGCAGG